This is a long non-coding RNA of Cyprinus carpio (common carp), 4431 nucleotides long. Lineage: Eukaryota; Metazoa; Chordata; Actinopteri; Cypriniformes; Cyprinidae. The record is from Ensembl.
AGACUGAACGGGCAGAUUCACACACACAAAAGCAGUGCCGAUGCAUCAGAAGGAAUCAUGGGCCAUCAAUGCUGCUGAGGAUCUACUUCAAAGAGUGCUAUGCUUCAAAUUGGACUCGAGACAGAAGGAUGUACUACUCUGUAGGAGUACUUUACUUUGAUCACCUUCUAAUGAAGAGAUUCUCCGGCAUUGCCACCUGUCAUGCUGCCAUCCUGCCACAUAAUGCACUUUCUACAGAAGAAUCACCUGAAGUUAUCUGUGGAAAGCCAUUUGUGAUUGUAAAAUUACCAGCCAAGAGGAUUAAAAGUGUUAAAGUUUUGGGUAUGUCCAGGCAAUUGCCUCGUGCAGUUCUUUGGAAUAGUCACCAUACUGUGUUUGUCAAACGCUCCACAGUCAAGGUAAGACCUGUACACUGUAUAAUCAAAUUUUGCUGCCAUGUUUUUGUUGUCUCUUAAAUUUUACAAUGUAUUAAUUUUGCUACCUCUCUAAAGGAUGGUAUUUUCCGGCUGGAUUAUCUUGAUGUGGCUGGAAAAUUGCAGACAGUCAUGUUGUCCUGUGUUCAACAGACGUUUAAAAAGGACAUCAGAAAACGAAGACAAAACCCUUUUGAUUUUAUUCGGGAAUAUGAUUCAGUACCUACUGUUGGGGCAAAUUUAGGUCUUUUGGACUUUGAAGUCAAACCCACUGUUCCUUGUGGGGAAUUUGAAAAAACACCUAAAACGACCCAAAUGAUGCUUGCAUCCAGCACAACAACAUUUUCAGACCCCAGUACAUGGACAAACACAAAUCCCUUUAGGUCACCUGAGAUAACUAUUGGAACAACCCAGAAAGCAGAAACCUCAAGUGCUGCUACACAGUCAAGUGGAAUGACCAAAACUGUAACUUCUGUUGUUGAUGCUGAUGCAGAAUUUGGGACCGAUUUUUAUGUCAAACCCACUGUUCCAUGUGGGGAAUUUGAAGAAACUCCUAAAACUACCCAAAGGAUACUUCCAUCCAGCACACCUAUACAUCCUAAUCCCACUUCAUGGGCAAACGUAGAUCCCUUCAGGCCACCAGAUAUAACUCUUUGUACUACCAAAGAAGGGGAAUCCUCAAAUGCAGCUACACAACCAGACAGGAUCACCAAAACUGCAACUCCUGUUGUUGAUGCCGAUGUAGAGUUUGGGACCGAUUUUGACCUUUCCACACCCACUGUUCCAUGUGGGGAACUUGAAAAAAACCUUAAAACUACCCAAAGAACACUUUCAUCAAGUAUUCCCACUCAAACAGGCCAGUCUACAUUGAAAAGCACAAGACAUGACUCUGAAUGGGGUUUCUCGGAUAUCCCAUUGACUCCUUUGAGUUCUGCAGAAACAACUCACUCAGUUAGCUCAACAGAAAUUAUAUUGAAAACAUUCACACCUGUUAUGACAACUGCUGGAGCAACAACCUUACCUGAGACCAUGCCUUAUUUAACAUCUGUUGCUGGAACCACAAUAGCUCUGAUAACAACUUCUGCUGAAACUACUUUUCUAGACACCACUUCCAUAGAAACUACUUCUCCGAGAACUAAUACUGCUGAAAUAAUGCCCUCCAUUAGUUCAACAAUAAAUAUUUUAGGAGCAUCCACAAAUGUAAUGACAACUGUUGGAGCAACAAUCUCACCUGACCCAACACCUGCCGCAACGUUUGCUGUUGAAACCACAAUGGCUAAAACUACCACAGAGACUGCAACCCUUGCCACCACUGCUGAAGAAACUACUAACUUUGUCACCUCUUCUGCUGACAAUACAUCCUUAGUUAGUUCAACAGGAAUAGUAUUGGAAACGUUGACACCAGUAAUGACCACUGCUGGAAAAACAACUGCAGCUUUAACCAAGCCUGGCUUAACAUCUGCUAUUGAAUCAACAAUGAAUCAAACUAGCGCUCCUUCAGAAACUACUACCCUUGGCAUCACUUCUGUUGAAAGCACAACCCAGAGAACCACUUCUGCAGGACCUUCUACCCUUGGAGCCACUUCUGUAGAAAGCACAACCCUGGGCACAACUUCUGCAGAAACAACAUCCUCUAUAAGUUCAACAGGAAUCUUGGAAACAUCCAUGCUUGUAAUGACAACUGCUCAGACAAUGGCAUCCAGCUUAACUACCCCUGCCUUAACAUCUGCUGUUGAAACCACAUUGGCUCAAACUACCCAUUUUACAGAAAUUAGUACGCUUGAGGGCAUUUCUGCAGCAAGUACCUCACUUGACACCCCUUUUGUAGGAAGUACAACCUUGGGCACAACCUCUGCUGAAUCUACUACCCUUGGCAUCACUUAUGCAAAAACCACUUCUACUUCUGUAGAAAGCACAACCCUGGGCACGACUUCUGGAGAAACUACCACCACUUCUGUAGAAACCACAAGCCUGGGCACAACCUCUGCUGAAUCUACUACCCUUGGCAUCACUUCUGCAGAAACCAUUUCUACUUCUGUAGAAAGCACAACCCUGGGCAUGACUUCUGCAGAAACGGCUACCCGUGGCAUCACUUCUGCAGAAACUACUACCAUUUCUGUAGAAAGAACAACCCUAGGCACAACUUCUGCAGAAACGGCUACCCUUGGCAUCACUUCUGCAGAAACUACUACCACUUCUGUAGAAAGCACAACCCUGGGUAUGACUUCUGCAGAAACUAUUACCCUUGGCAUCACUUCCACAGAAAUUCCUACCACUUCUGAAAAAAGAACAACCCUGGAAACUAUUACGUUUGGCACCACUUCUGUAGAAAGCACAACCCUGGGCACAACUUCUGCAGAAACGGCUACCCUUGGCAUCACUUCUGCAGAAACUACUACCAUUUCUGUAGAAAGAACAAUCCUAGGCACAACUUCUGCAGAAACUACUACCAUUUCCGUAGAAAGAACAACCCUGGGAACCACUGCUGCAGAAACUGCUACCCUUGGCUCUACUUCUGCAGCAAGUACCUCACUUGUCACACCUAUUGUAGAAAGCACAACCCUUGGUGCCACUACUGCAGAAAAAACAUCCUCUGCAAGUUCAAAAGGAAUCUUGGAAACAUCCAUGCUUGUAAAAACAAAUGCUGGAACAACAGCAACUACUCCUGCUUCAACAUCUGCAGUUGAAACCACAAUGGCUCAAACUACCACUCCUGCAGAAACUAUUACCCUUGACACCACUUCUGCGGCAAGUACCUUACUUGUCACCCCUUUUGUAGAAAGCACAACCCUUGGCACCACUUCUGCAGAAAAAACAUCCUCUGCAAGUUCAACAGGAAUCUUGGGAACAUCCACGCUUGUAACAACUGCUGGAACAACAAUGCCUGGCUCAACAUCUGCAGUCGAAACCACAAUGGCUCAAACUACAUAUUUUUCAGAAAUAACUGCACUUGGCUCCACUUCUGUAGGAAGCAUUACCCUUGGCACCACUUCUGCAGAAAAAACAUCUUCUGCAAGUUCAACAGGAAUCUUGGAAACAUCCAUGCUUGUAACAACUGCUGGAACAACAGCAGGUAUGCCUGACUCCACAUCUGCAGUUGAAGUGCUUGAUGGCACUUUUGCUGAAACACCCUCAGUUAGUUCAGCAGGAACUACAGCUAUAGGCACACCUGUCUUAACGCCUGCUGUUGAAACCACAAUGGCUCAAACUACCAUUAGGCACCACUACUGUAGAAACAACUACCUUUUGCAUAACUUCUGUAAAAAACACAGUUGGUCCCUCUUUUGUAAAGGGUACCAGUUGUGCGCAAACUAGUACCCUUGGCACCAAUUUUGCUUGAAACAAAACUGUUGGAACAAACUGCUGUAGAAGCCACAAUGGCUCAAACUACCACUUCUGCAGAUAAUACUACAGAAAUUUCUACUGUUGGUACCACUUCUACAGAAAUGACAACUGCUGGAACAACAACCUCAGCUAUAAUUAUGCCUGCCUUAAAAUCUGCUGCUGAUUCCACAAUGGCUCUAAAAACUACAGCUUCUGCAAAAAUAUAUCCUACAGGUACCACUGCAAUAGAAACUAGUACUAGUACUAUGCCUGGCUUUAAUGUCUGCUGUUAAAAUCACAGUGUCUCAAACAGAAACUACUAUGGUGCCCUUAGCACCAGUUCUGCAGAAACUACAACCCUAGGCACCACUUUUACUGAAACGCUGUUAAUUCAACAGGAAAAUUUAUGGAAAUAUCCACACCAGUAAUGACACCUGCUGGAACAAUCACAUCUGAAACUACUCCUGGCUUAACAUUUGUUGAAACCACAAUGGCUCUGAAAACUCCCACUUCUAUAGAAACUAUUUUCCUAGGCACGACUUAUCCAGAAACUACUACAAUCUCGACAGUCUCUUCAAAAACUACUGCAGUAGGUAGUAUACCACUUCUUUUGAAACAAGUUCAUUUUUGCAAACAUCUACACUUUUAUAAGAGUUGGGUAGAGUACCCAGAAACUGUACUCAAGUAAAAUUAA